UACAGAGGUCUCAAGCGUUGUUCGGAAUCACUGGGCGUAAAGCGUGCGUAGGCUGUUUCGUAAGUCGUGUGUGAAAGGCGCGGGCUCAACCCGCGGACGGCACAUGAUACUGCGAGACUAGAGUAAUGAAGGGGGAACCGGAAUUCUCGGUGUAGCAGUGAAAUGCGUAGAUAUCGAGAGGAACACUCGUGGCGAAGGCGGGUUCCUGGACAUUAACUGACGCUGAGGCACGAAGGCCAGGGGAGCGAAAGGG
RNAcentral lists this ribosomal RNA (253 nucleotides) under uncultured bacterium. Its description in RNAcentral is "partial 16S ribosomal RNA". It matches the Rfam family "Bacterial small subunit ribosomal RNA", at positions 524 to 776 of the family's 1533-position model. The record is from RNAcentral.